Molecule: long non-coding RNA, 4489 nt
Filed under: Olea europaea subsp. europaea
Lineage: Eukaryota; Viridiplantae; Streptophyta; Magnoliopsida; Lamiales; Oleaceae
Source: RNAcentral
GUUCUUGAUCAUCAAUCAUAGUUUGGAACAUAAAGUUAAAGACUACUUGUGCUUGAUUCCAGGUCAACCCAAAAGGCACCUGUUGACAACUGGAUGGAGUGUAUUUGUUAGCUCUAAAAGACUUACGGCAGGCGAUUCUGUCCUUUUCAUAAGGUACGGAAUAUUUGAAUUAAAAGCAUAGUUGGUUAAGCUUAACUGAACAUGUUUGGAAACAAAAAAGUGAGUUUCACUUGUUUUUAAGCUUAGCCAAACAUUCUCUCUGUUUGUGCUUAGCGUUAUCCUUGUCACUGAACUGCAAAAGUGUGAUAUAGAGACGAAAAGUCACAUCUUCUCUUGGGUAUAAGACAUGCUACCAGACAGCAGCCUGCUAUCUCCUCGUCUGUCAUAUCUAGUGACAGCAUGCACAUGGGAGUUCUUGCAGCUGCAGCUCAUGCGGCUGGGAACAACAGCCCAUUUAAGAUAUUCUACAACCCAAGGUAGUCGAACUAAUACCUUUUUCAACUGUUAAAGUACACUGGAUUAACUUUGUGAAAUUUUUUGAUUCCCUGAUGAAACCUAAACUUUUACAGGGCUAGCCCUUCUGAAUUUGUUAUUCCUCUUGCAAAGUAUAACAAAGGAAUGUAUACCCAAGUUUCAUUAGGUAUGCGUUUCAGGAUGAUGUUUGAGACUGAGGAAUCCGGAGUCCGCAGGUACAUGGGUACCAUUACUGGCAUUGGUGAUUUGGACCCAGUGCGAUGGAAAAAUUCACAGUGGCGUAACCUUCAGGUACUGGUUUUCUCUUUUCAUUUUGCUGAAAGUCUUCAACAUUUAUCUUUAGUGUGUAUGAUCAUGAACAUUUAGAACUUCGUGAUCGCUGUUCUACUCUCUUGGAAACUAAAUUUUUCCACUGCCCACCUAGGAUAUAACUCGACUGGUUGGUAAAUAUGUUGUCUAUAAUCAGUUUUUAGGCUAGCUUCUCUCAGUUUACCAUGCUAAAAGCUGCAUCUCAUUUUUGGUUUUGGCUUUUCUCCAAAUAUGUGCAUUGUAUCUUUCCAAUUUUUAUGUUUUCCUCUGCCGUAAUUGACCUUCAUUAAUUUCUAAUCAUGGUUUAGAUGUAUCCAAAAGAUUUAUCCUUGAUAUAUUCUACUACAAACGUCUUUUCCUCGAAACUUAUUCGAUUUCUAGAUCUCAUAAUCAAUUAUCAUUACUUUCGUUAGGUUGGAUGGGAUGAAUCUACUGCUGGGGAACGUCCUAGUCGAGUAUCAAUUUGGGAAAUCGAACCUAUUGUGACUCCCUUCUAUAUUUGUCCACCACCAUUUUUCAGACCUAAGUUUUCGAAACAACCAGGUUUCCCAGGUAAUCCAAGUUGACCACUUAUCUAUCUUUUAUUAUUCUGGGAUGUCAAACAGCUAUAAGUUACAAAUUUGUAUUAGUUUUAUUUGGUGUGUUUGUGGGAGACUGAAUGUGUCCAUAAGUUUUUGUUGAAAUUGCAAUAAUUUGUUGCAAAUGUUCAAAUUUUCCUCAAACUCGUGUUUUUACAGAUGAUGAUUCCGAUAUAGAGAAUAUUUUCAAGAGAGGCAUGCCCUUGAUUGGAGAGGACUAUGGUUUAAAAGAUACCUCAAGCUUCAUAUUCCCCGGGAUGAGUUUAGUUCAGUGGAUGAACAUGCAGCAGAAUCAACAGUUCACAGCUAAUCAGUCUGGACUUUUCCCGGACGGGCUCUCUUCAACUAACCUACACGGUAACCUUGGAACUGACGACUGCUCCAAGCUGUUGAAUUUCCAAUCCCCGGCCUUUGCUUCCCAAAAUCUCCAACUCAGCAAAAUCAAUCAACAAGUUGGACAACUUCAACAGCAGCCGUCUUCUGCGUGGCCCCAACAGCAGCCGCUGCAGCAAAUGUUAACGUCUUCUAUAAACCCUAUAAAUAAUGGUGUAGCUCCUGACCAGAAUCCAUAUCAAAAUUCACAGCAAACAGCAAUUAUCUCCCAACAACUUCAGCAACAACAGUUAAUAAGAGGCAAUACACAAAUGCAGCAAAAUGUUCCCUCAGCAAACAAAAGUACAGUACCCAUGAUAUCUUUACCUCAGGACACUCAGUUUCAGCAACAUAUUGAACAACCAUCUAGCCUUGUGCAGAGGCCCCAGCAACAGCAGACAGAAAUGCAACAAACUCGGCCACAAUUUCCGCAGCCAAUCUCAAUACAAAAGCCACAAGGGAAACAGACAUCACAACAGAGUAUUUCGGAACAUCAGCUGCAAAUGCAGAUUCUCCAGAAACAUCAGCAGCAACAGCAGCUGCAACAGGUGCCGUCCCCUGUAAGUUCUUUUUUGGAGCCUCCGUUUUCCCAACAACAACAGGCUCUUCAACAAAACCAGCAAGCUCAGCAUUUCAGCAGCACCGGCUUUUCAGCAUCAACACUUGUGCAAUCACCACAAUUUCCUGUCAACCAACUCUACAGCCAGCAAAAGUCUACGUUCACUGUCAAAUCACAUUCCGAACCAGCUGAUGCGGCUGGCCCAUCAUGUUCAAUCGCACCUUGUACAAACAAUAUGCAAGCUUCGCUGUCGAACUUUCUGAACAGAAAUCAAUUGGGAUCAGCUGCAUUACUUGAUAAUUCGGUUAUUCAUCCUGUUCCUAGUUUAGCUCCAGAGUCUCAUAGCAAGGCUGAUAUCCUAAUAAAAAGUGAUUUACCUAGUUAUAAAGGACCGAAGCAGCCUAAAUACCGAAAUACAGCUAAAGAUCACUUGGAUGCAGCUUCAAGCGCAACAUCGUAUUGCUUGGAUGCUAGUGGGCGGCAGAACUUUUCUCUUGCUGGCUUGGAUGGUGACAUUCAAUCACAUCCCCAGAGCAGUCUUCCUUUCACAAGCAGUAUUGAUGGAUUGACACCUGAUGCUUUGUUGUCAAGGGGUUGUGAUUCCGGGAAGGAUAUCCAAAACUUGCUCUCUAAUUACAGUGGUAAUCCAAGGGAUAAUGAAACAGAAUUUUGCUCUGCUGGAAUCAAUUCUCAAACAUUUGGGUUGCCAAAGAUGUCAUUUAACGCCAGUUGUUCAAAUGAUGCUGGGAUCAAUGAGGCUGGUGUUUUAAAUAGUGGGUUGUGGCCAAACCAGAUUCAGCGUAUGCGAACAUACACAAAGGUCUCUCUCUCUCUCUCUCUCUCAAACACACUGUUACACACACACGCACACUCUUCAAACUGGUCACCUGCCAAGUUCCCCCGCCACAAAAAUAGAAAAAUGAAAAAAAAUUACAGCAUAAUAGAAUCCAUCUACAUUCUCUUUGAGAACACUUACACGAAGGAACCGUAAUAUGAAAUAAAUUUUAUCUAAUUUCUUUCCCUCUUCGUUUGGAGACAGCCUGAUUACUAGAAAUUAUGCAGGUUCAAAAACGUGGCUCUGUGGGUAGAACUAUUGAUGUCACUCGUUACAAGGGGUACGAUGAACUUAGGCAUGAUCUAGCCCGUAUGUUUGGUAUCAAUGGACUACUUGAAGAUCCACAACGAUCUGAAUGGAAACUUGUCUACGUAGACCAUGAAAAUGACAUGUUACUUGUUGGCGAUGACGCUUGGGAGUAAGUGUUUAGCAACUGUCCUUGUUAUCUUAGUUUUUCGUUGAAAGAACACAAAAAUAACUUUGAAAAUUUUUCUCAGUGAGUUUGUGAGCUGCGUUCAGAGUAUAAAGAUACUGUCCUCUGCUGAGGUACAACAAAUGAGUUUAGAUGGAGAUUUAGCUCAGCCUCCUGCCCCAAACCAAGCACUCAGUGGAACAGACAGUGGUAAUGCUUGGAGAGGACAGUAUGAUGAUAAUUCUGCCAACUCUUUUAAUCGGUGAAAGCAUUGCAGAGAUUAACUUUUAUCAGCAGGAAAUGUUAGAAGGUAGAUGUAAAUUUCUUGUACCAUCGAAUGUUAAAAAGCUUGUCUGAAAUUUUUUGAAGUGCUUGUGCAUUCUUGUAGAAGAAUCAAGAAAACUAUAUAUACUUGACGAAACAAACAAUUUUUUAUUCAACUUUAAAAAAGGGAAAAUUCAGUCCAGUGCCAUCAUUUUCAUUCCUAAAUGGAUGCAACUCCAUAUUCUUUGCACUAAAUUACGCUAAACUGACAGUUCAAGAAAAUAUUCAUUUAGGACUGGAAUUCUUUUGUGAGAUAUCAGAAACUGGAAAAUAAGGACACAGACAAGCAGCUCUUUAAACGACUACAAAGAACAACAAAUGGUUCUCGAACUGAAAAAUCAUUACACUUUGAUUUCUUUCAUUACGCUGCAAAAAGUCGUCAUAUUGAUCCGGAUUACAACAAAUUUCUCAAGUUUCGCUUUUGCUGAACCAACUAAGAAAGGACAGCCAUGACCUCUGAAGCCCUUAGUGCUAUGUAGUUAGAACCGUCACUGCCCUUGAAAUCGUUUCCUGCAUAUUUGGAGUACAAAACUGUGUUCCCGGGGAUAACUGACAAUGGCUUCCUGUUACCUUCCUCAUCAAGGGGGCCAGGCCCGACUGCAAUCACCUGUAAUUGAAGAUGGAAA